GGAAUAUUGCGCAAUGGGGGCAACCUUGACGCAGCCAUGCCGCGUGUGUGAAGAAGGCCUUCGGGUUGUAAAGCACUUUCACUUGGGAAGAAAAGUACACCGUUAAUAGCGGUGUGCCGUGACAUUACCUUGAGAAGAAGCCCCAGCUAACUCCGUGCCAGCAGCCGCGGUAAUACGGAGGGUGCGAGCGUUAAUCGGAAUUACUGGGCGUAAAGCGCGCGUAGGCGGUUUGUUAAGUCAGCUGUGAAAGCCCCGGGCUCAACCUGGGAACUGCAGUUGAUACUGGCCGACUGGAGUGCGAGAGAGGGAGGUAGAAUUCCAUGUGUAGCGGUGAAAUGCGUAGAUAUAUGGAGGAAUACCGGUGGCGAAGGCGGCCUCCUGGCUCGACACUGACGCUGAGGUGCGAAAGCGUGGGGAUCAA
Molecule: ribosomal RNA, 421 nt
Filed under: uncultured bacterium
Lineage: Bacteria
Description: bacterial SSU rRNA
Rfam family: Bacterial small subunit ribosomal RNA
Source: RNAcentral